CAAUAGCGUAUAUUAAAGUUGUUGCAGUUAAAAAGCUCGUAGUUGAAUUUUUGCUUGCCGCCGAUGUCGGAACUUCCGUACGUUCGGCGGCGUGCAUCCUUGGGUGGAACCUGUGUGGCAUUAGGUUGUCGUGCAGGGGAUGCUCAUCGUUUACUGUGAAAAAAUUAGAGUGUUCAAAGCAGGCUUACGCCGUUGAAUAUAUUAGCAUGGAAUAAUAAGAUAGGACCUUGGUACUAUUUUGUUGGUUUGCGCACCGAGGUAAUGAUUAACAGGGACAGUUGGGGGUAUUCGUAUUCCAUUGUCAGAGGUGAAAUUCUCGGAUUUCUGGAAGACGAACUACUGCGAAAGCAUUUACCAAGGAUGUUUUCAUUAA
RNAcentral lists this ribosomal RNA (373 nucleotides) under uncultured eukaryote. Its description in RNAcentral is "partial 18S ribosomal RNA". It matches the Rfam family "Eukaryotic small subunit ribosomal RNA", at positions 592 to 976 of the family's 1831-position model. The record is from RNAcentral.